This 1877-nucleotide long non-coding RNA is filed under the name Helianthus annuus (common sunflower). Its description in RNAcentral is "hypothetical non coding rna". The record is from RNAcentral. Lineage: Eukaryota; Viridiplantae; Streptophyta; Magnoliopsida; Asterales; Asteraceae.
UGGAGUUAGAGAGAGAAAUGCAUAAAACUAGAGAGAGAGAAAGGAAGUGGUGGUCUAAUGGUGGUCCGAUGACGGUUUGCGGCGGCCAGUGGUGGUCGGAGUUGCGGGUUUCAACCUGAAACCACCUCGCGAUGAUAAGAAUGCAAUGGAACUUGAUUGUGAUGCAUGGAUGAUUUAAUGGAGUUUUAUAUGAAAUCCGAGAUCGUAGAAAUGUUUGUGAUGCAAAAAAUAAACACAACUUCAUAAGUGGAUCUCAUUGUAUGUCGGCUACAAGAAAAUCCAUGUACACGAUCAAUUACGUUUUCCUACGGGCAAAGGUGAGUGGUUUAUAUAUGUUUUGGUAUGAGUUGUUACUUCGGAUUUUAUUAAGUUUAUGAACACAUAACAUAUGCUAUCUUAUUGUACUUAUUAAAAAUCCAUGAUGAGCGAUAAAAUUAAAAUCAUGUAGAUCAAUUAUUUGAUAAUUGAAGUAUGGUAUUUCAUGUAGUAAUUCAUUGGCCAUAUGGGUUAAAUAUUCAAGUAAAGUUGAAAUGCUAAUAUGUUGUGUUCGGAAUCCAUUUGGUUAGAUUAGAAUGAUCACUCAACAUAAAUAUAAUCUAGAAAGACAUAUGGAAUAACACUUAUGUACUAGAAUGGAAGUUUAGAAUGUAUUACUAUAUGUGUGUGUUUAAUCAUGGUGUUGAGGUACAAGCAUGAAUACUGAACCGUCUGCGAUUUAAAUGCCCAUGGUUGUGUUUUCUGACUCUUGGAUAUGCUAAGAUGGAUUAGCAAGUUCAGGUAUGCAUGAAGGGAAUUUGUUCAUGAAGAUUUGAAAGCAGAAACAAACUAGUUAUGCAUUCGAUUUUGUUUAGCCAUGAUAGUAAGCACUCUAACACUUAAUGUUAGUACAGGUAUGGAUAUUUAACAAAUACUGGUUGUGACGAAAUAACAAAUGUAUGUAUAGAAUAGUAAAAAACCUCGAUUAGCUUUGCUAAUUUAGAUUGUGAUGAUCGAUGUCCACAGGUUCACAGGUCUAGUCAAAUAUGAGAUUGAAGAUCGGGUCUCAAGAUAUGGUUGUACGAGUCAAGCAAGGAUGGAUGAUUCAUUAAAUAGGUUAUUAACACCAUCUAAAAGGAAAGCAUUGUAAUGCCUAGAUAACUUUUUAAAAAGAUUUCAGUUAGGAUAUACGUUGUUUGUGAGUAUUAGUAAAAAAAAAUUAGGGACCGUUUUUCCGCUGCUAAUUAAACGGUUAAAUCUUGUUUUCAAACUAGGGCGUUACAAGUUGGUAUCAGAGCCCUGGUUUGAGCGAAAUCAAGUGCACAUAGGUAAGUACUUAAACUCAAACUUGCGUGCUCUUGUGAUAUGAACCGUACAAUCCAAGACUCGAUCAAAACCCGAAGGUAAAAUCGAAUGAAAAUGUGUAUAUGUACACUUAAAUGAAGAAGCUAAUUGUGUGGUGUAUGUAAGGUAAGCUUGGAUAAAUAAGAAGGGUGAUCCAAGAUGCAAUCUGGAGUAAGCACCGAGCCAUGAGUUUGUACUAUCGGAUCCCAGGUACACAAUUUUAAUAAGUAUGAGUUCCAGUAUUGGGAGAGUCACCCGAGAAAGGUUUAGUGAUAAAUGAAUUACGUUGAUUUUGCUUUGGUGGGAUCCAGAUUGAAACACGGGGUAUGAUUUUCAAACAAAAGACAAUGAUAUUGACUUGGUAAAAAUUUAAAGAUGUUGUAAAUUACAUGAAGGCACGAGACUAGUAUGUGGAUUGCGCGCCUGGCCAGUGCGCAAGAAGCAUAUGACACUCGCGAGACCAUGAUAAUCAUCACAGGUAUGUUCGGUAGGAAUGAGAAGUAAAUGGCUGUAUGGGAAGGGUGUGAGUCCGUAAGUAAGAACGGACCAACCAAGUA